ACGAUCACGUUUUAAUCUGAUCCAGGAAGCUGAAAUAUUUGUGAUUAAUAUUAAAAAAUCUCAUGUUUGAAAUGUGAAGUAUAUAAGAAAUAUGCAUUAAUUUUUAGUCAUGUUGCACAAAAAUCUAGGGCUGCAUAAUAGGAAAAAAAGAGAGAGCAAGGUGUCCCAUUUUGGUUUGCAUGCGUGCUGCUCUGCAUAUUGGAAAAAAAAUAAAAGAAGUGUCACCAAACAUUUGAGGCGCGGCGAAACACACGUACGCAGAUAGUUCUUGCUAACUCUUGGACAACACGGAGGUGAUAGAAGUGAUGAAUCAAGAAUCAAGGAGGACGAUCAGCAAAGCGGCGAUUCUAGCGGUCCUAGCAUGUACCGGCACCGCUAGAGCCAAUCAGAGCCGAGCAAAGGCCUCCCCACGUGCUGAGCAAAAGCAGCCCCCUCCCCUUCACGUGC
Molecule: long non-coding RNA, 447 nt
Filed under: Brachypodium distachyon (stiff brome)
Lineage: Eukaryota; Viridiplantae; Streptophyta; Magnoliopsida; Poales; Poaceae
Description: long non-coding RNA (BDIS_LNC002356)
Source: RNAcentral